Molecule: ribosomal RNA, 494 nt
Filed under: uncultured bacterium
Lineage: Bacteria
Description: partial 16S ribosomal RNA
Rfam family: Bacterial small subunit ribosomal RNA
Source: RNAcentral
GACGAACGCUGGCGGCGUGCUUAACACAUGCAAGUCGAACGGAAAGGCCUGCUUUCCCUUGUGGAUUGCGGGUACUCGAGUGGCGAACGGGUGAGUAACACGUGAGUGAUCUGCCCCCAACUUGGGUAUAAGCCUGGGAAACUGGGUCUAAUUCCCGAUAGGACUGCAGGGUGGUGCCUGUGGUGGAAAACGAUUUUCUAGUGGUUGGGGAUGAGCUCGCGGCCUAUCAGCUUGUUGGUGGGGUAAUGGCCUACCAAGGCGGCGACGGGUAGCCGGCCUGAGAGGGUGGACGGCCACAUUGGGACUGAGAUACGGCCCAGACUGCUACGGGAGGCAGCAGUGGGGAAUAUUGCACGAUGGGCGGAAGCCUGAUGCAGCGACGCCGCGUGGGGGAUGACGGCCUUCGGGUUGUAAACUCCUUGCGACCGCGAGGAAGCCACCUGGUUGGAAGGGUGGUGACGGUAGUGGUAGAAGAAGCACCGGCUAACUACGUG